Molecule: ribosomal RNA, 735 nt
Filed under: uncultured bacterium
Lineage: Bacteria
Description: bacterial SSU rRNA
Rfam family: Bacterial small subunit ribosomal RNA
Source: RNAcentral
GACGAACGCUGGCGGCGCGCCUAACACAUGCAAGUCGAACGAGCGAGAGAGAGCUUGCUUUCUCAAGCGAGUGGCGAACGGGUGAGUAACGCGUGAGGAACCUGCCUCAAAGAGGGGGACAACAGUUGGAAACGACUGCUAAUACCGCAUAAGCCCACAGCUCGGCAUCGAGCAGAGGGAAAAGGAGUGAUCCGCUUUGAGAUGGCCUCGCGUCCGAUUAGCUAGUUGGUGAGGUAACGGCCCACCAAGGCGACGAUCGGUAGCCGGACUGAGAGGUUGAACGGCCACAUUGGGACUGAGACACGGCCCAGACUCCUACGGGAGGCAGCAGUGGGGAAUAUUGCACAAUGGGGGAAACCCUGAUGCAGCGACGCCGCGUGGAGGAAGAAGGUCUUCGGAUUGUAAACUCCUGUUGUUGAGGAAGAUAAUGACGGUACUCAACAAGGAAGUGACGGCUAACUACGUGCCGGCAGCCGCGGUAAAACGUAGGUCACAAGCGUUGUCCGGAAUUACUGGGUGUAAAGGGAGCGCAGGCGGGAAGACAAGUUGGAAGUGAAAUCUAUGGGCUCAACCCAUAAACUGCUUUCAAAACUGUUUUUCUUGAGUAGUGCAGAGGUAGGCGGAAUUCCCGGUGUAGCGGUGGAAUGCGUAGAUAUCGGGAGGAACACCAGUGGCGAGGGCGGCCUACUGGGCACCAACUGACGCUGAGGCUCGAAAGUGUGGGUAGCAAACAGG